This 468-nucleotide ribosomal RNA is filed under the name uncultured bacterium. Its description in RNAcentral is "partial 16S ribosomal RNA". It matches the Rfam family "Bacterial small subunit ribosomal RNA", at positions 28 to 507 of the family's 1533-position model. The record is from RNAcentral.
GACGAACGCUGGCGGCGUGCUUAACACAUGCAAGUCGAACGGAAAGGCCCUGCUUUUGUGGGGUGCUCGAGUGGCGAACGGGUGAGUAACACGUGAGUAACCUGCCCUUGACUUUGGGAUAACUUCAGGAAACUGGGGCUAAUACCGGAUAGGAGCUCCUGCUGCAUGGUGGGGGUUGGAAAGUUUCGGCGGUUGGGGAUGGACUCGCGGCUUAUCAGCUUGUUGGUGGGGUAGUGGCUUACCAAGGCUUUGACGGGUAGCCGGCCUGAGAGGGUGACCGGAAACAUUGGGACUGAGAUACGGCCCAGAAUCCUACGGGAGGCAGCAGUGGGGAAUAUUGCACAAUGGGCGGAAGCCUGAUGCAGCAGCGCCGCGUGCGGGAUGACGGCCUUCGGGUUGUAAACCGCUUUCGCCUGUGACGAAGCGUGAGUGACGGUAAUGGGUAAAGAAGCACCGGCUAACUACGUG